UGGGGAAUUUUGGACAAUGGGGGAAACCCUGAUCUAGCCAUCCCGCGUGUGCGAUGAAGGCCUUCGGGUUGUAAAGCACUUUUGGCAGGAAAGAAACGUCAUGGGUUAAUACCCCGUGAAACUGACGGUACCUGCAGAAUAAGCACCGGCUAACUACGUGCCAGCAGCCGCGGUAAUACGUAGGGUGCAAGCGUUAAUCGGAAUUACUGGGCGUAAAGCGUGCGCAGGCGGUUCGGAAAGAAAGAUGUGAAAUCCCAGAGCUCAACUUUGGAACUGCAUUUUUAACUACCGGGCUAGAGUGUGUCAGAGGGAGGUGGAAUUCCGCGUGUCGCAGUGAAAUGCGUUGAUAUGCGGAGGAACACCGAUGGCGAAGGCAGCCUCCUGGGAUAACACUGACGCUCAUGCACGAAAGCGUGGGGAGCAAACAGG
RNAcentral lists this ribosomal RNA (429 nucleotides) under Acidobacteriota bacterium. RNAcentral describes it as "Acidobacteria bacterium partial 16S ribosomal RNA". It matches the Rfam family "Bacterial small subunit ribosomal RNA", at positions 355 to 776 of the family's 1533-position model. The record is from RNAcentral. Lineage: Bacteria; Pseudomonadati; Acidobacteriota.